This 1142-nucleotide ribosomal RNA is filed under the name uncultured organism. Its description in RNAcentral is "bacterial SSU rRNA". It matches the Rfam family "Bacterial small subunit ribosomal RNA", at positions 44 to 1185 of the family's 1533-position model. The record is from RNAcentral.
AGGCCUAACACAUGCAAGUCGAGGGGUAACAGAAGUAGCAAUACUUGCUGACGACCGGCGCACGGGUGAGUAACGCGUAUGCAACCUACCUUUGACUGGAGAAUAGCCCGAAGAAAUUCGGAUUAAUGCUCCAUGAGACCACAAUACCGCAUGAUAUAGUGGUAAAAGCUCCGGCGGUCAAAGAUGGGCAUGCGUGCCAUUAGUUAGUUGGUGAGGUUACGGCUCACCAAGACAACGAUGGCUAGGGGGUCUGAGAGGAUGAUCCCCCACACUGGUACUGAGACACGGACCAGACUCCUACGGGAGGCAGCAGUGAGGAAUAUUGGUCAAUGGACGCAAGUCUGAACCAGCCAUGCCGCGUGCAGGAUGAAUGCCCUAUGGGUUGUAAACUGCUUUUCUACAAGAAGAAACUUCCUGAUGUAUCAGGAACUGACGGUAUUGUAGGAAUAAGCAUCGGCUAACUCCGUGCCAGCAGCCGCGGUAAUACGGAGGAUGCAAGCGUUAUCCGGAUUCAUUGGGUUUAAAGGGUGCGUAGGCGGGGUAGUAAGUCAGUGGUGAAAGCCUGCGGCUUAACCGUAGAAUUGCCAUUGAUACUGCUAUUCUUGAGUGCAGUUGAGGUAGGCGGAAUGUGUAAUGUAGCGGUGAAAUGCUUAGAUAUUACACAGAGCACCGAUUGCGUAGGCAGCUUACUAAACUGUAACUGACGCUGAGGCACGAAAGCGUGGGGAGCGAACAGGAUUAGAUACCCUGGUAGUCCACGCUGUAAACUAUGAUCACUCGCUGUUGGCGAUACAUUGUCAGCGGCUGAGCGAAAGCAUUAAGUGAUCCACCUGGGGAGUACGGCCGCAAGGUUGAAACUCAAAGGAAUUGACGGGGGCCCGCACAAGCGGUGGAACAUGUGGUUUAAUUCGAUGAUACGCGAGGAACCUUACCUGGGCUUAAAUGCAGAACGACGUACCGGGAAACUGGUACUCCCUUCGGGGCGGACUGCAAGGUGCUGCAUGGUUGUCGUCAGCUCGUGCCGUGAGGUGUCGGGUUAAGUCCCAUAACGAGCGCAACCAUCAUUGUUAGUUGCCAGCGAGUAAUGUCGGGGACUCUAACGAAACUGCCGGUGUAAACCGUGAGGAAGGUGGGGAUGACGU